UACGGGGGGGGCAAGCGUUGUUCGGAAUUACUGGGCGUAAAGGGCUCGUAGGUGGCCAACUAAGUCAGACGUGAAGUCCCUCGGCUUAACCGGGGAACUGCGUCUGAUACUGGACGGCUUGAGUUUGGGAGAGGGACGCGGAAUUCCAGGUGUAGCGGUGAAAUGCGUAGAUAUCUGGAGGAACACCGGUGGCGAAGGCGGCGUCCUGGACCAACACUGACACUGAGGAGCGAAAGCCAGGGGAGCAAACGGG
This 253-nucleotide ribosomal RNA is filed under the name uncultured bacterium. RNAcentral's name for it is "partial 16S ribosomal RNA". It matches the Rfam family "Bacterial small subunit ribosomal RNA", at positions 524 to 776 of the family's 1533-position model. The record is from RNAcentral.